This is a non-coding RNA of Taeniopygia guttata (zebra finch), 1915 nucleotides long. NCBI's taxonomy places the organism in Eukaryota, Metazoa, Chordata, Aves, Passeriformes, Estrildidae. The record is from RefSeq and is a predicted model, not a curated record.
CCGGUCACCAUUUUCCAGGAAGCAACAGCUGGCAGCACAGCGAAACAGCACCUAACACAGGAGGAUUUCUAACCAGGAAUGAACACAGAUUAAUCCCUGGUUGGUUUGUACUGCAGAGGUUACUGCCUUCAUGAGGCAGGGAAGUAAACAAGGAACAAUUCCAACACCCAGAUUCACUUGCAAGUCUCGUCCUAAUAGACUCUUCUCUAAUUUAGGCCCGGUCACCAUUUUCCAGGAAGCAACAGCUGGCAGCACAGCGAAACAGCACCUAACACAGGAGGAUUUCUAACCAGGAAUGAACACAGACUGCACGCUGGACUCUCAUGGAAGGAAGCAACUGCUGCAGCUGAGCACCUGCUGAAGCUGCACCAUCAUCAUCAUCAGGAGCAGGAGCGUCUGGGAACCUGAGCAAGGAACAGCUCCCGUCCUACGUCAUCAGGGGGCUUCCAGCAAAUCCUACUAUUUCCCUCAAAGCCCUGCACUGAGACAUGCACUGCAUUUAUUUUAAGCACUACCCUCACUCUUUGCUGUGCCAAACUCCUUUAUUUAAUUAUUCUUUUGUUUUGCCUUUUCUCCCUCCCCAGCCUGCUGCCUCCCCUGUCAAAGCCUCGUCUUGCCUUCAGUCCCUGAUCCAAUUUGUUCCUGAAGCACACCUGAGUCCCUGCCUGGGUGUCGAGUUGGCAAUUCCUCCGAUGCUCCAAUAUCCCACUCAAUUGCCUCAAUUAGCUCCCACUGUACACUUGGGUGUAGCACUAAUGUGGCAUCUGUGCAGCUCAGGGAAUAUCUGCUCCAUUAUGGAGCUUUUCCAUCACUUCUAGGAGAGAAGGAUUACUGCGCCUUUAACUGUGUCACUGCCUUAGCUGGAGGGAUCAUCCUCUGCCUCCUUGGCUUACCUACAGACACUCAAGCUUCUCUGCAGAUGUUGAAACUUGGGAAAAAUAGUUUGUCUGUGAGGGAGGUGAAAUCACAGACCAUCAAGGCUGUAAAAAGAGUAAUUUAUUGGAAAGCUUGAAGCACGAAUCACAGAGCUGCACAAGGAUGUUAUAGCUGCUGUGCCUUGAUUGAACUUUAUGUAAUUCCAGCCAAGUGCAGCUCUUUGCCCUGGUUGAGGUGUCUGUAAAGCUGAGGAGCUCUUCAGGCUGCAGAUCAGGACUGUAAAACCCUCAUCAGGUUCAGACUGCUCAAGCUGCUUGCAAUAAAAUGUAGACAAGGAUAAUCUUGAAGGGGAUAGGCCUAGACUUUGUCAUGGAUAUUUUCCAUUUGAACCCAUGAAAGUUCUGCCCAGAGACUGAAGGACAACGGGAUGGGCACACUCAGAAGACAGAAGUACAGACAAUGUGAGUUGUUUUAAAUAUAAUAGUAACAAUAAACUGUUUUAAAAAGUAGUUUAUUCAGUAGAGGAGAUUAGAAGUGAGUGUUAAUUUUUUCUGUCAAAGGUGAUGGUUUUGCCCCUGGUUGUAAAGCAAUAAAACAGCACUUUUCAAUAAGACAACAUGUUGGGUCCAGAUUUUUUUUUUUUUAAUAUAAAAUUCAAGCUCCUAAUAUCCCUUAUUCUGAGGAUUGGUAGAGGAGAAAUUUGCUAGCUUAAAAUUAUUUGACAGACAUCAAAGCUGAGGAGAUCAUUUUCAGUGCUGGAAGGUAUAUGUUAUCACUUUUCAUCUAUCUGAGCUUCCUCACAGUAUAAUUGCUGAAGCUGGCUUCAACUACAUCUGGUGGACUGGAGAGGUUACAAAGAGAUUUUAUGAAUGUAUGUUUCAUUAAAAUUAAUUUUUAAUUGAGAAAGGAGACCAUAUUCAUUUCUUUGCUGAUUAGAACAGCUGCAGUGUGAGAGCAACAAUCAUUAAAAAGAGAAAUGUUUAUAAUGCUCCUAGCAUCAGGAAGUAAAAACCCAAAACUAAACCAAGAAAUAUUAUCA